CCCCGCAGAUCGUAUCACCACCCUUCUUCACACGCACCUCAUGUCCUUCCUCGGCGGGGCGACCCGCCGGCGGAACGUUCGCAAACCCUUUUCGUGCAUCCGAGCAGUAAUCGUUCCGAUGAAAAAUACAAUCGUUACAAUCUUCAACAAUGGAUCUCUUGGCUCUGGCAUCGAUGAAGAACGCAGCGAAAUGCGAUAAGUAGUGUGAAUUGCAGAAUCCAGUGAAUCAUCGAAUCUUUGAACGCACAUUGCGCCCCUCGGUAUUCCGUGGGGCAUGCCUGUUCGAGCGUCAUUUCAAGACUCAAGCACUGCUUGGUGUUGGGCGUCUGUCCCGCGCUCCGCGUGGGACUCGCCCCAAAGACAUUGGCAGCCCAGGCCGUCCGACCCGCCCGCAGCACAUUGCGUCCGGCGAGUCGAACGGCGGCCUCGGCGUCCAGCAAGCUCCCCCUUCUCAGUUUUGACCUCGGAUCAGGUAGGGAUACCCGCUGAACUUAAGCAUAUCAAUAG
Molecule: ribosomal RNA, 507 nt
Filed under: Spegazzinia tessarthra
Lineage: Eukaryota; Fungi; Ascomycota; Dothideomycetes; Pleosporales; Didymosphaeriaceae
Description: eukaryotic LSU rRNA
Rfam family: 5.8S ribosomal RNA (bases 139-292)
Source: RNAcentral